RNAcentral lists this transfer RNA (19 nucleotides) under Turnera stenophylla. RNAcentral's name for it is "partial tRNA-Thr". RNAcentral also lists the same sequence under 21 other names. The record is from RNAcentral. Lineage: Eukaryota; Viridiplantae; Streptophyta; Magnoliopsida; Malpighiales; Passifloraceae.
AACCUCUGAGCUAAGCGGG